GUCACUCUCCCUUCUUCGACCGCCCAUCCUUCCUCUGCUGAAGUAUUGCCCUCACGUGUGACCGGUGUGCGUGUGCGUGCUUCAGGUGGGGAACGACAAGCACCCAAUCGCACACAGGCGGACAGAGAGCCGCACGGACUUGUGUGGCCGUCUCCUCCCCCGUGCCUUGCCGCGGCGGCCCGCGUAUUCGGCUCGCCACUCCACCUACGUGUUUGCGGUGCCGGGUGUGGAGGAAGGGCGAGGACGCGAGGGGGGAGAGCGCCAAUUUCUGUUCGGUUUCCUGUUGGCCACGCGGAGACUGCAGCUCCAACCACCAAUCCCCCCCUUCCACGCACAAACACACACACACACACACGCAUGCGGAUCUUGUGAGCAGCACCGUUACGUAUCGUCCUCCCCCGAGUAUCCGUUGAACAGCAUCUCCUGGAGGUCGGCUGUGCCUCGCAUAUCUUCAGUCGUGCCGCGGCAGCUCUUAUUUUCUCUGCUGCUCCUCACCUUUGCCCGCCCUCUCCCCUCGCAGAGGGACCGAUAACGUACCCGGCCGUGGCCGGAGCAACCAUGGACGGCGCUAGCGCAGAUGGCGGGGAUGGCGCUCCUGCGUCGGCGGAGCGCCAUUCUCUGAAGCCGCUUAUGUGGAUAGAGGAGGUGCGAGACGCGAGCCAGCCGAACGCCGUCUUUCUCAAUGUGUACGACGUGAGCGGCAGUAGCACGCUCCUGUGCUCCGUUGGGUGGGGCGUGCAUCAUGUCGGCGUGCAGGUGUACGGCAAGGAGUACCAGUACGGCCAUCGCCCCAUCGGCAAAGGCAUCGGCAGUGUCAAGCCUCGCCACUCGCCUCCGCACACGUACCGGGAGCAGUUCUUCCUUGGUCAGACGCAGCUGAGUGCGUUCGAGGUGGAGAAGCUGGUGGUGGCCUUCUCGGAAAAGGUGGAGUGGCUGGGUAACAACUACCACCUCGUGAAGCACAACUGCAUCGACUUCGCUCGAGCAUUUUGCGAGGCGCUCCUGCCGCCCGCAGUACGCGUGGAGCAGGCGCGGCGGGCGGAGGAGGCGGGUCUGCCGCAGAAGAUGCACAUGGUGGAGGUCGAGGUGGACGGAAUGCGGCACUCGGUGCCGGUGCUCAUACCGCACCACGUCGAUCGGCUAGCGCGGUACGCAGCGCACUACCUGCCGAAAUCCUCCAUGCGGAGCUUCGACCGACUCGAAAGCUCGUUCUUCAGCAUGUCCGAGGUGCCCCAGGAGCGGGGGCAGCCUACCGCCGCGGAUCCCAACGCAAAUCGCAGCACAACCCCGACACCGCAGCCGCGCACCCGCACAGGUCAUUAGCCGGUGCUAGUAGUCGGCGAGCGUUGUGCGUGUGUCGUGCGUGGGGGAGAGGGGAGGGGGCGAGCGUCAAAUGAGGCAAGCACACACACACACACGCACACCUCUCAAUGUGUAAAUCUAUGCACAUGCUGUUAAGCACCCCGGCCUGUGCGCUGAUCGCCGCCCCCUCCCCUCCCUCUCUACGCCCCUUGCAUCGGCGUGUGCCUUCGUUCAAUUUUGCGCUUGCGUGGAGCUGAUGGUGGUCGUCUUGCUGGUGACAAGGGCGGGUAGCGGUGUGCCUCUUCGUACAUGUGUGUGUGUGUGUGUGUGUGUGUGUGUGUGUGUGUCGGCACGUAGGCCAGAGCACAGAUCGUUCCUCCAUCUGCCAGCCCCCUUGCUGCUGCUCGCGUUCUCUUAGGAUGUGCGCUGCUGUCGAUGCACAUCAUGGCAGACAUAUGCACGCACACAGAUGCGCCCGAUCGUUUCCCUCGCUCCUUCUUUUCUGGCUACGUCGGCUCUUAGGACUGAUCCUUGCACAGAUGUGUGCAUACGCAUCGACUCGGCCAGAUUUGAUGUGUACAGCGAUGAUGUAUAUGUGUAUAUAUCGUGUGUCUUUCUUCACCGUGCGUUCAUUCAGCAGCGACACAUCGUUCUGACCUCCUCCCACUCCCUCAGCAACUGCGUCGCAGGCGCUUGACCCUAUCACCACCAGAGGUGGGCUCGGCAUUUGCAGGGAUAUAAGGGGAGGAGGAGGGCACUGGACCCUGCGACACCACGCACGGAGGCGCGUGUGCCCUCCCCCUUCGCCCCCAUCGUCAUGAGGGCCAUGUGAACAGCACAGGAAACCAAGUUGAUGUGUGCGUGUUUGUUUUUGUUCCACAGUGCGCACCUUCCCGCGUGCAUGCGAUGCAGUAGUGGUUCUUCUGCUGCUCCGUUUCGCUCGUCGCGCUGCUUGCGCUCUUUCCUUACUUACUUUUUCGCCUUUCUCCAUCUUUGUGCGCGUGCCGCUACGGCGGGGGCGGCGGCGGCGGCUGAUGUUGUGACUGCAUUUUUCCUCUCAUCUUUUCGUGCUCGCUCGUGGCGCUUGCGCCCUCCAUGCUUGAGCCCCGCGCAUGCAAGCACCUCUCCUCAACUUACUCUUUCGCCCGCCCCCCUUCCUCGAUCUCCUCCCUCUUCCGUGUCCUCAGCAAACGUGUGCGUGCGUCCGCGUCUACCGUGAUGUGUGUGUGUGUGUGUGUGUCGCUGGAUGGAGGAAUGACGUUGAUGGUCAUCGAGUUGAAC
RNAcentral lists this unclassified non-coding RNA (2583 nucleotides) under Leishmania donovani. RNAcentral's name for it is "gene:LdHU3.09.1620(CDS-product:PPPDE_putative_pep tidase_domain_containing_protein_putative)". Lineage: Eukaryota; Euglenozoa; Kinetoplastea; Trypanosomatida; Trypanosomatidae. The record is from RNAcentral.